RNAcentral lists this ribosomal RNA (1001 nucleotides) under Bacillus thuringiensis. RNAcentral's name for it is "bacterial SSU rRNA". It matches the Rfam family "Bacterial small subunit ribosomal RNA", at positions 248 to 1240 of the family's 1533-position model. The record is from RNAcentral. Lineage: Bacteria; Bacillati; Bacillota; Bacilli; Caryophanales; Bacillaceae.
GUUGGUGAGGUAACGGCUCACCAAGGCAACGAUGCGUAGCCGACCUGAGAGGGUGAUCGGCCACACUGGGACUUGAGACACGGCCCAGACUCCUACGGGAGGCAGCAGUAGGGAAUCUUCCGCAAUGGACGAAAGUCUGACGGAGCAACGCCGCGUGAGUGAUGAAGGCUUUCUGGUCGUAAAACUCUGUUGUUAGGGAAGAACAAGUGCUAGUUGAAUAAGCUGGCACCUUGACGGUACCUAACCAGAAAGCCACGGCUAACUACGUGCCAGCAGCCGCGGUAAUACGUAGGUGGCAAGCGUUAUCCGGAAUUAUUGGGCGUAAAGCGCGCGCAGGUGGUUUCUUAAGUCUGAUGUGAAAGCCCACGGCUCAACCGUGGAGGGUCAUUGGAAACUGGGAGACUUGAGUGCAGAAGAGGAAAGUGGAAUUCCAUGUGUAGCGGUGAAAUGCGUAGAGAUAUGGAGGAACACCAGUGGCGAAGGCGACUUUCUGGUCUGUAACUGACACUGAGGCGCGAAAGCGUGGGGAGCAAACAGGAUUAGAUACCCUGGUAGUCCACGCCGUAAACGAUGAGUGCUAAGUGUUAGAGCGUUUCCCCCCUUUAGUGCUGAAGUUAACGCAUUAAGCACUCCGCCUGGGGAGUACGGCCGCAAGGCUGAAACUCAAAGGAAUUGACGGGGGCCCGCACAAGCGGUGGCGCAUGUGGUUUAAUUCGAAGCAACGCGAAGCACCUUACCACGUCUUGACAUCCUCUGAAAACCCUAGAGAUAGGGCUUCUCUUUGGGGAGCAGAGUGACAGGUGGUGCAUGGUUGUUGUCAGCUCGUGUCGUGAGAUGUUGGGUUAUGUCCUGCAACGAGCGCAACCCUUGAUUUUAGUUGCCAUCAUUAAGUUGGGCACUCUAAGGUGACUGCCGGUGACAAACCGGAGGAAGGUGGGGAUGACGUCAAAUCAUCAUGCCCCUUAUGACCUGGGCUACACACGUGCUACAAUGGACGGUAC